Stegodyphus mimosarum is the source of this 73-nucleotide non-coding RNA. Lineage: Eukaryota; Metazoa; Arthropoda; Arachnida; Araneae; Eresidae. The record is from Rfam.
GUCUUCGUGGUGUAGUGGUCAGCACGCUUGACGUGUAUUCGAGAGGUCCGUGGUUCGAGUUCCAUCAAGGGCA